RNAcentral lists this transfer RNA (57 nucleotides) under Chordodes sp. VVA-2019. RNAcentral's name for it is "tRNA-Asp". Lineage: Eukaryota; Metazoa; Nematomorpha; Gordioida; Chordodea; Chordodidae. The record is from RNAcentral.
AAUAGAUAUAUUUAUCUUUUUGUCAGAAAGAUAAUUUUAGUUAACUAAAAUCUAUUU